RNAcentral lists this non-coding RNA (74 nucleotides) under Hymenobacter psychrotolerans. RNAcentral's name for it is "Fluoride sequence". It matches the Rfam family "Fluoride riboswitch aptamer (crcB RNA motif)". Lineage: Bacteria; Pseudomonadati; Bacteroidota; Cytophagia; Cytophagales; Hymenobacteraceae. The record is from RNAcentral.
UGCGCAUACGGUGAUGGAUUUCCACCGCGAACCGCCGAAGCUUCGUGCUUUGCGCUGAUGAUUCCUACUGAGCG